RNAcentral lists this ribosomal RNA (469 nucleotides) under uncultured bacterium. RNAcentral describes it as "bacterial SSU rRNA". It matches the Rfam family "Bacterial small subunit ribosomal RNA", at positions 330 to 792 of the family's 1533-position model. The record is from RNAcentral.
UCCAGACUCCUACGGGAGGCAGCAGUGGGGAAUCUUCCGCAAUGGGCGAAAGCCUGACGGAGCAACGCCGCGUGAUCGAAUGAAGGCCUUCGGGUUGUAAAGAUCUGUUGACAGGGACGAAUAAGCAAUGCGAAUAGUUUUGUGUAUGACGGUACCUGUUUAGAAAGCUCCGGCUAACUACGUGCCAGCAGCCGCGGUAAUACGUAGGGAGCAAGCGUUGUCCGGAAUUACUGGGCGUAAAGGGCGCGUAGGUGGGCGCUUAAGUCAGGUGUGAAAACUCCGGGCUCAACCUGGAGACUGCACUUGAAACUGGGUGUCUUGAGGGCAGGAGAGGAAAGUGGAAUUCCUAGUGUAGCGGUGAAAUGCGUAGAUAUUAGGAGGAACACCAGUGGCGAAGGCGGCCUACUGGGCUUUAACUGACGCUGAGGCACGAAAGCAUGGGUAGCAAACAGGAUUAGAUACCCUUGUA